AAUGCGUAACCUGACCCUGAAAGCAUGUCUUAUUUUAGAAAUUUGACUGCUCUGCGUUUCAGGUGCACUGAAGAGAGCUGUGUGUGAGAGGCAGGAUGUGGCCACGCUGAGGGACUCUCUCUCUGGGGUCAGUGUGGCCCAGGUAGAGUGCCCCUGUGUGCCCCUACGUCCGCGUCCUCCGGCCAGCCCACUCCUGCUGCUGGUGGAGCUCCCAGCUGCCUUGCAGGCCCUCAGGGACUCGCUACAGGCUUGUGAAUCUGGCGUCACUCACCAGGGCCUGCAGACAGGCUUAUGUUUAAAUGCCAUCUGGAACCCCAAGGAGGUCUCAAUUACCCGGCUCUUACAGUGCAGGAGCUGCACCUCCCUGCGUCCCCCUAGCUGCUCCGUCAUCGCGGCUGACGUCUCACACCCCCAGGACAGCACCGCCGACCAGAUUUGGUUGAUCCCAUCCUCCGUGCGGUUCUGCUCCCAGAUUCCGAUCUGAGAGGCGGCACAGGACAUCCUGUACAGACAAACCCCUUCCCCGCCAUGCGUCCCCCCUGCCUCUGAACAGACAGUGCCUCCUCAGCUCUCCGGAGUGGCACAGACAUACUCCUGCUGGUUCGUAGGGAAAGGAGCUCUCUUUUUGUUUUAUUUUGUGUGUAGCACAAGCCAAAACUGUCUAGAUGGUGAACACAGUUGGCUGUUUUUGUAUCUGAGCACUAGAUUCUAGAGAACAGAGAAGGGCUGGUUGUGUUUUUAAAAGCGUAUCAGCAGACAAGACUGACAAAUAGAAAGUGUUGAUGAAGGAAGCUACAUGUUUUUAACCUCCUUUCAUUGUUUUGUAAAGGUAAAGUCUAAGUAUAGAUCCAUACAUGCAUGAACCACACUACAGAUUUACUCUGUUCUAAAACUCCAGAAAAUACUUAAACAUCUGUUGGAAGCUCAAUUGCACUCUGACUGUAAUUAAACUAUAAUUACAGAUAUUCCAUUCCAUUAAACCUGGCGGUGAUGGUAGGGCUUUAAAUAAACGUUUCAUCAUCACUUUUAUAGUUUUGCAGUUUUU
This 1045-nucleotide long non-coding RNA is filed under the name Lepisosteus oculatus (spotted gar). RNAcentral's name for it is "lncRNA (ENSLOCG00000021159.1)". Lineage: Eukaryota; Metazoa; Chordata; Actinopteri; Semionotiformes; Lepisosteidae. The record is from RNAcentral.